Molecule: ribosomal RNA, 260 nt
Filed under: uncultured prokaryote
Description: partial 16S ribosomal RNA
Rfam family: Bacterial small subunit ribosomal RNA
Source: RNAcentral
UACGUAGGGUGCGAGCGUUGUCCGGAAUUACUGGGGUAAAGGGCGCGCAGGCUGUUAUGCGAGUCUGCUGUGAAAUGUACCGGCUCAACCGGUGCCUUGCGGCGGAUACUGCAUAGCUGGAGUACUGGAGAGGGAAGUGGAACUCCCGGUGUAGUGGUGAAAUGCGUAGAUAUCGGGAGGAACACCGGUGGCGAAGGCGACUUACUGGACUGUAACUGACGCUGAGUCACGAAAGCGUGGGUAGCAAACAGGAUUAGAUA